This 328-nucleotide ribosomal RNA is filed under the name uncultured eukaryote. RNAcentral's name for it is "partial 18S ribosomal RNA". It matches the Rfam family "Eukaryotic small subunit ribosomal RNA", at positions 1470 to 1796 of the family's 1831-position model. The record is from RNAcentral.
CCCUUAGAUGUUCUGGGCCGCACGCGCGCUACACUGAUGAAUUCAACGAGUUUAUAACCUUGGUUGAGAAGCCUGGGUAAUCUUUUGAACGUUCAUCGUGAUGGGGAUAGAUUAUUGCAAUUAUUAAUCUUCAACGAGGAAUUCCUAGUAAACGCAAGUCAUCAGCUUGCAUUGAUUACGUCCCUGCCCUUUGUACACACCGCCCGUCGCACCUACCGAUUGAAUGGUCCGGUGAAGCCUCGGGAUUGUGGUUCUUGCCGCUUUAUUGUGGCGUGACCGCGAGAACUUGUCUAAACCUUAUCAUCUAGAGGAAGGUGAAGUCGUAACA